Molecule: long non-coding RNA, 2916 nt
Filed under: Mus musculus (house mouse)
Lineage: Eukaryota; Metazoa; Chordata; Mammalia; Rodentia; Muridae
Description: long non-coding RNA chr11:93220745-93223661
Source: RNAcentral
AUAGUGAUAGUCUUUGGUUGCCAUGGAAAUAUGAACUCACCUUUCCUGAUAUGUAUUGUGGUUCUUUUUACCAUAUUAAGCUUAAUAGAAAACUCACAUAUCUUGUGAUAUUUUUAACCAUGUAUGCAUUUUAAAGUAUCCGCUGGGCUGCAGUGGUCGUGGGUUAGCAUAGAAUUCUGCAUCUCAGUUUGUGCAUUGAUAUGACCCAGUGUUUGUUUUAAGAAGGCACAACAUUCAGUGUGUCUACACUUUCUCCAUUUUAUCUGGGUAUUAGAGAUUAUACAUGUUUGCUUGCAUGUGACAGCUCUUGCGUUUUUCCAGAGUGAUUCCAAUUUAAUUCUGUUCCUCUGUUAAAUCUCUGUUGAUUUAAAUACUGAAAAUAAAUACUGAAAAUGUGAUCUGGCUUAUUGUAUCUUAAAGACCACAAGAGAUUCAGGCAUCCACUAUUUUUGUUGUUGUUUUUCUCCUUUCUAUCAGUUUGUUCUACUAUUUAAGAAUUGUUCAAGUUAGUACAACUGUAAAGGUUGAGACAAUGACACUCUGAGGGGUGAAUGCUAUUGUUUAGUGGACACAUGACAGGGACAGGGGAUUGUCUGGAGCCUUAGUCUUUUGCCUUAGUCUUUAAAAUACAGAAAUAUUUCAAAUGUCAUAUAAUGCAGGGAAUUCCAGUAGAGUAUAGAGAAUCACAUGAAUCCUUCAUAUUAUGUGUGAUUCUAGUGCCACUCCCAGUAUAUGGUGACCAUGCUGAUGAGGAUACAUAUUUUUUAAAGUAUGGAAGUUACAUUAGAGGGUUCAGUUAGGUAAAUGUUCUGACGAGUUUACAUAUCCAAGAGUUAGAUAUAGUCAUUACUACUCCCAAGCAAAAUAGUAAUGUCUUCACCUUGACCCAUGCCUUGAUAUGCACCCACAUAUUUGGAUAACAGGAGAUAUGGAAUCAAAUCUCUACUUCCUUUGCUUCCAUUCACCAGCAGUUUCUCAAUUCCCACAGGAGUGAAGCAGGGCUUCAUUUUCAACCGAAGAUCCUCUUAUACUCUUGCCUCUCCAUGGGCUGCUCUUCUGUCUGCUCUCUUUCUCAUUUCAUUCCAUUAAUGUUAUCCAACUGUUUUGCAACACAUCGUUAAGACUGAAAGGUCAGCAGGCUCCACUGCAUGAUCUUUAAAAGGUUGGUAAUGUCAAGACGAAUGCAGCCUCUUAAAUCUGUUUCUAAAGGCCAGAAUCAUCCGUGCAUUUUUUGGAGAGGGAUAAUGACAUCAAAAUUAUUACCAAAACCCUGUCCCUGUGAUCACUGGGGUCAACCAGGAUUUACUACUUAGUAGAUGGCAGCUUCUGCUGCCCAAAGCCUAUGGAUUAGCUAUGUAUCUGGAAGACUCAAUUUUAAGGGGGGAAAGAUCAAACCCUUCCUCUGUACUCCAACAAAACUGCAUGCACACCACACAAAUGAGCAGGUGCCUCUACUUGACAUAAAAUCUCGAGACUUACCAAGAAGUCUUUUUCUCUAAGAGUAUAAAUAUAUGGUAUGAGAUACUUACACGUUAUUUAUGACCUAAUAAAUUAUAGAAUAGGUCUGCUUUUUAGUUCAGUCACAUGUUUUUUGUUUUUGUUUGUUUGUUUGGAUUUGGAUUUUAAAUGGCUCCAAAGUUGUGAGUUUCUUAUAAUAUUGGCAAUUGGGGUCCAGUUUGCUUGCCAUAGAAAACUCAGGUUCAAGGUGAUUGUCAUUCCACUGAGGCUCUUGUAUGAAUUCAUACUGGUCCUUGUUGGUCUCCUAAGGCAAGGAUAUGGAAGUGUUAGGUCUCUGGUAUUUCACAGAUAAUAAACAACUAUAGCCUUGGUAUGUUGAGCAACUUAGGCAGUGCUAUAUGGUUAGAGACAGUUAUUUUUGUUUGGGUCUCAAACUCAGGUCCCUCCAUGUACUAGGUAAACACUCUACCACUGAGCUACAACCCCACCUGGUUUGGGAUUUUAAGAAACUCUGUGUCAAGUUUCAGCAAGAUUCCUGCCAAGUUCAGGUACUGUUUUAAACUUCAGAAUAGCACUAAAAUCCUGUUGUAAGACAGUUAGAUUUGCUAAUCAAAACUGCUUCUUAAAAGCAUGACAUCGUUGAGAUAAUUCAGCUAGCAAAAGGGAACAAUGGUAGAUGCCUUAGAACAGAUAGUGACAGGAUUAGGGUGAGAAUGGAGAAUAAGAUUCUUCAUGUUUGGAGAAACAAUGAGUUUAGAGGUGACUCAAAGACCAAUGCCAUCCUGACUUACGUGCGUGUUGGUGGAAUACCUCAUGGUGAAGCAGAAUCCCCACCUACGUUUGACUUCCUAACUCCAUCACUCCGCUCUACAUAACCAAACGCCACUUUGGAUUUCUAAGGCUUUUCUUGCCUUCACUGAGACAAGUUCACUCACAAAGAUAGUGAACUUAUACUAGAGUCCAUAUCUUCCAAAAAACAAACGAACAAACAAAUGGUUAUUGCCCUCUCAUUUUAAAAUAUAAUUUUCUUCACAAUAUAUACAUAUUUACUUAUGUAGCCAUACCGUAUAUUUUUCUUUCUACACCAAAACCAUCAAGUACUUUCUAGCCUGGUUUGUAGUUCCCCCUGCUUUUACUUAUUCUCAGCCCUACCGGUGUGGACUCUACCUCUUCCCUGUGAGCAUCACCUGCCUCUUUAUCACAGCUUGAAAGCACCCGUCAAAACCAUUGUUUUGAAACAGUUGUCUAUUUGCAUGCUGCACAGGCUCAUAGUUUAUGUGUGCUUCACUUCCCUACAAUCAAAAAUAUUUUAAAAUAAACGAGGAAGAGAAAAGUAUACGUGAACAGAACUGGCAAUGCUUUGAUUAAAUCUAUUCCCACCAAGAUGUCUUAUCCAUUUGGUUUAAAUUCUCGUUAGAUUUUUAAAAUUACACUCUUAAAAAUGAGUGUAUUUGAAGC